GAGUCAGUCCCCAGCCCAGGCCUAUGGCCCAGGCGAGCCUCCGAUGCCAAGGUAGAACAAAGGGCCGUGUCUAAUUAAUUAAACACCUCGACCCCAGUUCAUUAACAAUAAAACAUAAUUUAAUUGUAACUUCAAUAUUAAUAAAAACCCCCGCCCAAGGUGGUGCCGAUUGGCUGGCGUGCCGGCCACUGGGCUCGUCAUGGGCUGCCGGAUCACUUCGCUGCAGUAGCCGUUCUGCACGGGACUCGUCGGCAUGAAGCCGUGGUUGCCUUGUGCCGGGCUGGGCAGAGACUGACAUCGAGAGCUGUUGCCCAGGGGCGUGGAUGGCACUUGGAAGCUGGCGCUCGGUGCAGCCUGGCACUGGCCAGCGCACCUGGUCGAGCCUCCCUGGCAGGAUCACCAGCUUGUUCUCCACCAUCUCACCCUCGGCCACCUCGUCCAGAACAACCUCUUGGUUGGGGUGCAGGUCGCCAGGGAGUGGUGCUAGCGCCGGGAGCACCACGCUACUGGGGCGCGGCAAUAAGGCGUGGCGCUCUGUCUUUCGACACGGAUCUGAAGCUCGCCUGCAGUCUCCGCCGCCCAACGACAUGCUUGCCGUCUGAAACAUAUAAUACUAAUUGUUUUCUUUUUCUGUUAUUUUUUUUUAUUUGCAUCACUUUAACAAUAUUAAAUUAUUGUGCCCAUACAUUUUAUAUGUUUUGCACCAGGCAGGCAUAGAAGAUCAGAUUUUAAGACUCUUCCUCAGUACAUAUGUGUCCUCCAUGAUUUUCCCAUCUUCCCCUCUAACCUGCUGCUGCUUACUCUUUCCUUGUUUUUAUCCUUCUCCUCUUCUGGUUUUUGCACAUGUGCGUUGACAUGCUAGAUUUUGCAUAAAUUAGCAUUUAACAGAUAAUUCUGUCAUUAUCAGCAGUUUCUUGUACAGAGUGUUACCUUCGAGACCCAGGGUGAGCAUCAGAGGUGAGUCAUAGCAGAUUUAUAAUUUCUGGUGUAUGUCAGCUUGGUGUGUGGUGUUUACACCCACAAUGAAGGUGCUUAAUUGCUUAAACUCUGUUAUAAUUUAUAUUUUGGCCAGCCACCAUAAAAAUUGCACACCUGGUAAAUUUAUGAGUGUGCUUUUGAGCUUGUUGAGUAACCUUUUUUUGAGUAGUAAGUUCUUUUACCAUGAUGAGCUUGGAUGCAUUGCCUGGUAUAACUUGUUUUUCUGGGUUUAAGUUAGUAAUAUUUUCCUUGUAGUUGUUUUGAGCACUAUUUACCCCAUUAAUGGUAUUAAAUUUUUGUGGUGCAGACAAUUAUUUUUUUUGAAGUUUUCUCUUGAAUUUUUUUGCCUAGUUGUUCACUAUACUUGUGUGGGUGCUAAAGUCGGUGUAUAUUCACAUGUAGUUUGAUACUUUUUGUGUAAUUUGUAAUUUUUAGCCUAAUAAAAUGUUUAUUACAAUAUUUGUUAGGUACAUAUUUGGAUUUAUUUUUCCAUGCAUUUUUGUCCUUAUGUAUAUUAUGAUUAAACUAUACAUAUGUUUGUAACCUUAAGUAAAAUUUGAUCAAGUAUCAUAAAUAUUAAUAUCUGUUGGGAUUCUCAAUUAUCUUUCAAAUAUUGCUAUCUUGUGAAGGUGUUAAACCAUGGCCACAAGUGUAACUUUUAUCUAGAGGUAAAAGUUGUCAUGAUUUGGAUGUUUGUCUUUUCUGUGGCUUUGAGAUAUUUGAAAUAAAAUCGUUUAUGGUUUGUCGCCACGUCA
Molecule: long non-coding RNA, 1733 nt
Organism: Bacillus rossius redtenbacheri
Lineage: Eukaryota; Metazoa; Arthropoda; Insecta; Phasmatodea; Bacillidae
Exons: 3
Source: RefSeq, a predicted model, not a curated record